This 255-nucleotide unclassified non-coding RNA is filed under the name uncultured Xylariales. RNAcentral's name for it is "sequence contains 5.8S rRNA gene, ITS2, 28S rRNA gene". The record is from RNAcentral. Lineage: Eukaryota; Fungi; Ascomycota; Sordariomycetes; Xylariales.
AACGCACAUUGCGCCCAUUAGUAUUCUAGUGGGCAUGCCUGUUCGAGCGUCAUUUCAACCCUUAAGCCUAGCUUAGUGUUGGGAAUCUACUUCUCCUAGGAGUUGUAGUUCCUGAAAUACAACGGCGGAUUUGUAGUAUCCUCUGAGCGUAGUAAUUUUCUUCUCGCUUUUGUUAGGUGCUAUAACUCCCAGCCGCUAAACCCCCAAUUUUUUGUGGUUGACCUCGGAUCAGGUAGGAAUACCCGCUGAACUUAA